Molecule: long non-coding RNA, 3807 nt
Filed under: Sus scrofa (pig)
Lineage: Eukaryota; Metazoa; Chordata; Mammalia; Artiodactyla; Suidae
Description: lncRNA (ENSSSCG00015045679.1)
Source: RNAcentral
GUAGACCUCGACACUGAAAAGUGUGAAUUUUAUCUUAUGUAAAUGAUACCUCUUCCCCCACCUUUUCUUCUGGGGGAGGGGGAGGAAUGCUCUUUCAAAGCUGAAGGAACUAGUAAUGAUUUUGGAGAGUUUUAAGGGAAUGCAUUUAACUUAAGAAUAUAGCAAAAUAAAAGCAGCUUUUCUCUGUACCACUAAAAUUUGGCAAGACUUGCUUGAACCAUGAUAUAUUGUGUCUGUUCAGGCUACUAUGCAUGCAGUCUCAUCUUACCAAAUUAGUCCCCAGGGCUGCUGUGAUUGAUAUUUUGGUAAAGUUCCAGUAAUUUAGGGAGAAGUUUUUCUCUGGCCCAAGGAAGUAAUUUGCAGAGUGAAGUUCUUAAACAGCUACAGAACAACUUUUUUUAUUGGGACCCCAAACAACCUCAGUUUUACUUCUGCUGCUCCUUCCUAUCUGCCCUCUUUUCUAUAGAUUCAGAAUUGUGAGUUAAUAUCUGAAAUGAAGCUCUAGUCUGAACGAAUAAAAUGCUGCUGCUUUUCUCUGGUGAUUCUGGAAUAGGAGUGAUGUUGGACUUGAAAAUUAAAACCUUAAUGCCUACAUAUGCUGUAGAAGUGAAAGUUUCUGUUCAGUUCUGCCAAUAGGAGUACAAUAAAUUGUCGGAAAGAAAGUUAACACUUACUGGGCUGCUUUUCCAUGUGGGGAACACGUAGGCCACAUUUUAAUUGAUGAUUAAACCUUUGCUCUAGAAGCCACUGGAAAAUGAGAAACCUGUUAAGGUUUUUUUGGUAAAGUUCAACCACUGGAAAACUUUUCUGAGAGCUGUGAUAACUGGUCACAACUGUUUCCUGAAAACUUGCUGCUCUCAGAGUUCCCUUGUGGUGCGGCGGGUUCAGGAUCUGGCAUUGUCACCUCUGCGGCUUGGGUCGUUGCUGUGGUGCAGGUUCCAGCCUUUGGCCUGAGAACUCCACAUGCCACAGGCGAGGCCAAAGAAAAUCAAAAACAAACCCAACAAAAACUGUCAGCUCCCAGUAUCUAGAAGAAAAGGGCAAAGGAGAUGACAGCUGGAGGAGAAUAUCUACCACAGAACCACAGAGCCUACACGCAGGAAAUAGUAGAUAAUCACUGAGUUCCGUGGGAACCAGGUACAUAGUUUGUGGCGCAUGGAGUUUUAGUAAAAGUCUGAGUAAAAAUCUGACCUCCUGGCUCAGAGUUUCUCUUAUUCCUUUUACCAGAUGUCAGUUUAGUCUGAAGUUUUCCACGUCUCUUAAAAUGUUUGAAUCACACAGUCUCCUUUUUUUCUUAUCUCUAAUUUGCAGUAACCUUUAGGAAUGUAACUAAUAAUGCUAAUGUAUCUAUUUUGGUGUAGUUUGAUAAACAUCUGUGGCUGUGAGGUUUUUUUGUUUUUGUUUUUUUCUAUCUUCAGAAAGUCCUUUAUCUGUCCCUGGCUGCAGGGCUUGGUACUUCGGUUAGGGGUGAGGAGAAGUUUCAAGUGUGUUUUCUUGUCCCUAAGUCUCGGGGAUGAAGCCUGCAAGGGAAUAGGAGUUAUAUGUUACUCUGGCAUUACCAAGUUUUCACAAAAUAGUGAAGAGUGAAUUGAAUAUACCUUUAUUCCUAUAGUCCUUUGGAAGUUGCUUGUGGCCAGUUUUUGUUUUCUCAGAUAACAAAGUAUUAUAUUUGGGCCCAUGACUUUAUCAGAAAAAAUAUUUUGAUUUGUUGUGAAUCCUUUUUGGUUUUUUUCCCUGCAGUUAAAGAAGUGUUUAUCUUGGAUAUCAGCUCGUUCUGAGCCAUAGUUAACCACCUAAGAGUACCAGGCUAAGGAUUCCUUGCUGUUUAGUUUUUCUAGUUUUCCCUUUUGUUGCAGGUACAGGUGUAUUGAACUAGGCUUCUGUACAUUGGAUUUCCUCAUGCUAUCCCAUUUUCCUACUCAUAAAAUUGGAGAUUGUUAAAUAUUUUGAUCUGCAGAUAUAACUAAUAUAAUGUUUUUCCUAAAAGUAAAAAUUCAUUUCUAACGAAAUAGUAAUACUCAUAUUUUUCUAUUCCGAGGGAGUUGAGGCUUUUUUUUUGUCACUUAAUAGUCUUAACGGGAAACAAGAUUACUUAACAGAACUGGCAAGAUUAGCAGUCCUUUUUGUUAUUAAAUUCAUCUAGCAACUCAAGCCAGAGAUUAGCUGUGUGGACUCCAUUUCCAAUUGGGAGUUUCCUCUAGGUUUAGAAAUAAACAGAUCAUAAAACCGAGGUACAAACACAGCUGUUGACAGUUUUCAACUGAAAUAAAUUUGAAUGGAAGAAGAAUGCUUCUAAAUGAUGAUAAAAUUUAAAUACCAAACUUAGGCCUUGGAAAUUUUUUCUUUCUUAUUCAAGUCCUUUCCAAGUAGACGUUAAUUAAUAAUUACGGUAAAUCCGAACACUCUUGGCUGGCAGUAGAAGAUGAUUCCACCUCUGAAGUUCAGAUUUGGAGAGGGGUCUGAGUGAUGCUGAUAACCAAGCCAAAGUGAAAGGUUAACCCCUUCACAUGCCGAGGCUCAGUGAUGGGGGAGGAGAGGGCAGAGGAGCAGGGCAGGCAGAAAUGCUCUCUGUAUUUCUUGGAAGGACUAACACAUUGUCUCGAAACGUAGAUAAUCAGGUAUCUACCUAGAACUCAAUAAAUACUGCAACAUUUUAGGCUUAUUACCUAUCUGCCUCCACUGAAUUUCGCUUUCCACUUUGUUUAGGACACAAUUCAUUCCAGCAUAGGGUCUGAAAAUGCUGUGACUAAGUCGUUUAAAGGUUUCAGUUUCAGAAAGUAGACAGGACUCUUCAGUAGCAAUAGUUUUCUCUUAAGCACAGUUAAGAGAAAGUAACUGUUAGUGCUGACAAAUACUCAAAGACGCUUUUACCAUAAGUUUUGGACAUUUUGCUCAUGUCCCAAAUUUAAGCUGAGGCCACUUUUGUAUUUUUGGACAAGGCCAGCGUAAUGGUUCUAUCCUUUUAAAAGCCCAGUGAGAUACAGCCUUUGCUUGGUGUGUGUUAGAACCGCAAAGGAAUACUGUUAUUUUGAAUUUCAGAGAUAGUGACCCUCCAGAGGCUUCUAAGCGGGCUGAUUUUGCAUUGAAUCCCUGAAAUACUCUUGGGCAUCAGUAUCGUCUGUCUGACAAGGAGGUGAGCUGGUGAGGUUUUGCCACCAGCUGUCUAAUCACGUUGCCUAAGCUUACUAACUCCUCUAAACUUGAGCUUUCUCGUCUGUAAAGUGGGCAUAAUAUUUCCUUUAUCCAGUGUGUAAAAUACUCACUUCAAUUCCUGAUACAGAAAAUGCCUGAAUGAUGGGGUUAUGGCGAAGCCAGUCAUGUUGGGGACCUGUCACAGGGAACACAUAGUUUCAACAGCUCAGUAACAAACACCGGGGCACUUAGCAUGGAUAAUUUUUGCCCUUAGGUUCAUCAACUCAGUUGUUUAAUAUAGGACAUGUAUGUGACUGCAGAUCAGCUUACGUAGCAAAAGGUUUAGUUGGUUACUGUCUUAUCCAUGCAUCACUUAUCUCUGCAUUUCAGUUAGAUACUCAAGAAAUGGACCCUCGGAGUUCCCGUCGUGGCUCAAUGGUUAACGAAUCCGCCUAGGAACCAUGAGGUUGUGGGUUCUAUCCCUGGCCUUGCUCAGUGGGUUAAGGAUCCAGCGUAGCCGUGAGCUGUGGUGUAGGUUGCAGACGCGGCUCGGAUCCCGUGUUGCUGUGGCUCUGGUGUAGACUGGUGGCUACAGCUCCAAUUCGACCCCUAGCCUGGGCACCUCCCUAUGCUGCAGGAGCGGCCCAAGAAAUGGCAAAAGAAAGAAAAAAAAAA